AUGAGAAGGAGACUUGCAGGAAUGGGAGGCAUCCAGAACGAGAAGGAGACCAUGCAAAGCCUGAAUGACCGCCUGGCCUCCUACCUGGACAGAGUGAGGAGCCUGGAGACCGAGAACCGGAAGCUAGAGAGCAAAAUCCGAGAACACCUGGAGAAGAAGGGACCCCAGGUCAGAGACUGGGGCCAUUACUUCAAGACCAUCAAGGACCUGAGGGCUCAGAUCUUUGCAAAUACUGUGGACAAUGCCCGUCUUACUGCUGAUAACUUUAGAGUCAAGUAUGAGACAGAGCUGGCCAUGCACCAGUCUGUGGAGAGUGACAUCCAUGGGCUCCACAAGGUCAUCGAUGACACCAGUGUCACUCGGCUGCAGCUGGAGACAGAGAUCGAGGCUCUCAAGGAGGAGCUGCUGACUUCAUGAAGAACCAUGAAGAGGAAGUAAACAGCCUACAAGCCCAGAUUGCCAGCUCUGGGUUGACCGUGGAGGUAGAUGCCCCCAAAUCUCAGGACUUCACCAAGAUCAUGGCAGAAAUCCGGGCUCAAUAUGACGAGCUGGCUCGGAAGAACUGAGAGGAGCUGGACAAGUACUGGACUCAGCUGAUUGAGGAGAGAACCAUAGUGGUCACCACACAGUCCGCUGAGGUUGAAGCUGCUGAGAUGACGCUCACAGAGCUGAGAUGACGCUCACAGAGCUGAGAUGUACAGUCCAGUCCUUGGAGAUCGACCUGGACUCCAUGAGAAAUACGAAGAUCAGCUUGGAGAACAGCCUGAGGGAGAUGGAGGCCCACUACGCCCUGCAGAUGGAGCAGCUCAAUGGGAUCCUUCUGCACCUGGAGUCAGAGCGGGCACAGACCCGGGCAGAGGGACAGCGCCAAGCCCAGGAGUACGAGGCUCUGCUGAGCAUCAAGGUCAAGCUGGAGGCUGAGAUCACCACCUACCGCUGCCUGCUGGAAGAUGGCGAGGACUUCAGUCUUAGUGAUGCCCUGGACAGCAGCAACCCCAUGCAAACCAUCCAAAAGACCACCACCUGCUGGAUAGUGGAUGGCAAAGUGGUGUCUGAGACCAACACCACCAAAGUUCUGAGACAUUGGGCCAGCAGAAACAUGGGACCCUUUGGGGAGCAGGGGGCCAAUAAAAAGUUCAGAGGUCAUUCAAUGUUAAAAACAAAAACAAAAAACCAUGAGCCAGGUGUGGUGGUAUACACCUGUAAUCCCAGCUACUCAGGAAGCUUCAGUGGGAGACCUGCUUGAACCUAAGGGUUUGAGACCAGCCUGGAUAACACAGCAAGACCCUGUCUUAAAAAAACAAAAAAAAAAAACAACAAAAAAAAAACUGUUUGGUUAACUCAGGCCUAGUGUCAUUUCUUUCACCUAUAACCAUAGAUGUAAUAACUGGAAUUUGGAAAUACAGCCCCUUCUUCAAAACCAGAAAACAGCAGUAUCCUGGUGUUUUCUUUUGACACUCUGAUGAUUGCACUGAAAUAGUCACAUGACAGUUUUGUACGCUGCAAACAUUUUAAUGAUUAUUGUUGAGCAUACAUUUUGGAAAUUUUUUACUUCAAACAGCAACAAGUUAAAUAAAUGUUUAUAAUAUACAAAGAAAAAACAACCAAAAGUAAAACUUGCUUUAAGUGUGCCUUGCACUUAGACCAGUGUUUUCCCCCCCUUAAUAUAGCUUUAUUUUUGAGCUGCACAAACACACUUAAGACUUUGAUCUUCAUAGUACGGCAUUUAGGAAAUAAAAAUAUACUCCCACCUUAAAGAAAUAAAAAGGUUGUGCAUGAUUAUAUGCCAAACAAAAGAGAGAACACUAGAAUACUCUGAUAGUGCAGGCAUCAUUAAAAA
Molecule: RNA transcript, 1840 nt
Organism: Sapajus apella (tufted capuchin)
Lineage: Eukaryota; Metazoa; Chordata; Mammalia; Primates; Cebidae
Gene name: keratin, type I cytoskeletal 18 pseudogene
Exons: 2
Source: RefSeq, a predicted model, not a curated record